This 275-nucleotide ribosomal RNA is filed under the name uncultured bacterium. RNAcentral describes it as "partial 16S ribosomal RNA". It matches the Rfam family "Bacterial small subunit ribosomal RNA", at positions 79 to 354 of the family's 1533-position model. The record is from RNAcentral.
CUUUCUCCGCCGGCGACCGGCGCACGGGUGAGUAACACGUAUGCAACCUGCCCCUGUCAGGGGGACAACCGCCGAAAGGCGGGCUAAACCCGCGUACAUGCCACCGGGGCAUCCCGGAGGCAGGAAAGGCUUCGGCCGGACAGGGGUGGGCAUGCGGCGCAUUAGGCAGUAGGCGGGGUAACGGCCCACCUAACCGACGAUGCGUAGGGGUUCUGAGAGGAAGGUCCCCCACACUGGUACUGAGACACGGACCAGACUCCUACGGAAGGCAGCAG